Long non-coding RNA from Varanus komodoensis (Komodo dragon), 1038 nucleotides. RefSeq lists it as uncharacterized. The record is from RefSeq and is a predicted model, not a curated record. The transcript has 2 exons. NCBI's taxonomy places the organism in Eukaryota, Metazoa, Chordata, Lepidosauria, Squamata, Varanidae.
AAGAGAUGUGUGAGUAGAUUGACAUAUCGCUACGCGCAGGUUUGGGAUCUGUUUAUGUAUUUCAUUUUGGAUUGUUUCACCAUAAGGUUUUUAAGCACCUACUGCCACUGAGGAGAUACCCUUCCGAAGUGUCUGCCCCCAUCACCAUUAAGGAUCCGUUCGCUUCUGCUGAUGUGCCCCUUACUCCUGAAGAGGGCGGCUGCAUUUUAGCCUGGUGUCCUAGCUUUGACCAUUCCACCUUGGGUGACCCUGCUAGGAGACCAGCCUAGCCAGACAUGCUGGCCUCCUGCAUUCAGGAUCCUCUAUUUAGGAUAGUUUAUUUAUUUCUCAGGCCCCCGUUUGGUUUGGGGUUCUCAUGGGAACAAUACUGUUCCUGCUGAAACCCCAAACCAAACGAAGGAUGGGGAAAUGGCUGUGCAACUUUGAGAAGAAGUGAGUUCCACCCAUUAGCUCAUUACCCCUCCUUUAGACCAGUAAAAACUAUUCCCCAGAGGGGGUCUGUUAGGUUUAGAGGCUAUGCACAACAAUGGAGUUUGAAUUUGUAAUAGUAAUAUUUUAAGUUACUGGAGAUGGGUGAGGGUUGUCCCACCUCUCAUUUAAAAAUCAAGAUCAAAUUGUUGCUGAAAAGCAGUCUCAUGAUUGCUGUUAAACAUUUAUAAAGCACCAAAAUUGAGUAAGAGCUGGACGCUGAUUAAAAGCAAACACAGACUCCCAUCCCACAGGUUUUCAAUCUAAAAUGCAUCACAUGCAUGUUGAAACAAUCUGUGAAAGGUAUGUAUGGGCUAGUCUGCCUUCACACCUGGUGGCCACUACUCCCCCAGGAACUUAGUGCUCUUUGUGCACAUGCUGUAUGUAUGGAGAAAUCCUCCAUGUGAGGGCAGAUCCUGGCCAAUCAGGUUCCCUUCUCUCAUGGUGACACUCUAUAUGUAUACCUCAGUAUGUGCAGAACCCAGUCUUAGGUUCUUUGCAUAUGUAUGUAAGGCUGACCACUGGGCACAUUGGCAGUGAAGGCCAGCCUAGCGUGCAGAGCCCCACGGU